RNAcentral lists this ribosomal RNA (250 nucleotides) under uncultured bacterium. RNAcentral's name for it is "partial 16S ribosomal RNA". It matches the Rfam family "Bacterial small subunit ribosomal RNA", at positions 524 to 773 of the family's 1533-position model. The record is from RNAcentral.
UACGGAGGAUGCGAGCGUUAUCCGGAUUUAUUGGGUUUAAAGGGUGCGUAGGCGGGACCUUAAGUCAGCGGUGAAAGUUUGAGGCUCAACCUUAAAAUUGCCGUUGAAACUGGGAUCCUUGAGUAUAUUUGAAGUAGGCGGAAUUCGUGGUGUAGCGGUGAAAUGCAUAGAUAUCACGAAGAACUCCAAUUGCGCAGGCAGCUUACUAAACUAUAACUGACGCUGAGGCACGAAAGCGUGGGUAUCAAAC